Molecule: ribosomal RNA, 674 nt
Filed under: Pholiota scamba
Lineage: Eukaryota; Fungi; Basidiomycota; Agaricomycetes; Agaricales; Strophariaceae
Description: eukaryotic LSU rRNA
Rfam family: 5.8S ribosomal RNA (bases 298-451)
Source: RNAcentral
UUUAGAGAAGUAAAAGUCGUAACAAGGUUUCCGUAGGUGAACCUGCGGAAGGAUCAUUAUUGAAUGAACUUGGCGUGAUUGUAGCUGGUCCUCUCGGGGGCAUGUGCACAUCUGUCAUCUUUAUCUUUCCACCUGUGCACACUUUGUAGGUCUGGAAUAAAAAUUUCCGAGGCAACUCGGUCGUGGGGAUUGUUAUAUCAGCUUUCCUUGCAUUUUUCAGGUCUAUGUUUUCAUAUACACCAUAACAAUGUAAUAGAAUGUUUUUAUUGGGUCUUGGUUACCUAUAAAACUAUAUACAACUUUCAGCAACGGAUCUCUUGGCUCUCGCAUCGAUGAAGAACGCAGCGAAAUGCGAUAAGUAAUGUGAAUUGCAGAAUUCAGUGAAUCAUCGAAUCUUUGAACGCACCUUGCGCUCCUUGGUAUUCCGAGGAGCAUGCCUGUUUGAGUGUCAUUAAAUUCUCAACCUUAUCAGCUUUUGUUGAUAAUGGCUUGGAUGUGGGGGUUUCUUUGCUGGCUUCUUAACGAGAUCAGCUCCCCUUAAAAUUAUUAGCUGGUUGCGUUGUGCAAACUGUCUAUUGGUGUGAUAAUUAUCUACGCCGUGGACUUUCUGCUAGUAUUUUAGCACCGCUUCUAACUGUCCGUUGACUCGGACAAUAUAUAUGACAAUUUGACCU